RNAcentral lists this ribosomal RNA (468 nucleotides) under uncultured bacterium. RNAcentral's name for it is "partial 16S ribosomal RNA". It matches the Rfam family "Bacterial small subunit ribosomal RNA", at positions 28 to 507 of the family's 1533-position model. The record is from RNAcentral.
GACGAACGCUGGCGGCGUGCUUAACACAUGCAAGUCGAACGGAAAGGCCCUGCUUUUGUGGGGUGCUCGAGUGGCGAACGGGUGAGUAACACGUGAGUAACCUGCCCUUGACUUUGGGAUAACUUCAGGAAACUGGGGCUAAUACCGGAUAGGAGCUCCUGCUGCAUGGUGGGGGUUGGAAAGUUUCGGCGGUUGGGGAUGGACUCGCGGCUUAUCAGCUUGUUGGUGGGGUUGUGGCUUACCAAGGCUUUGACGGGUAGCCGGCCUGAGAGGGUGACCGGCCACAUUGGGACUGAGAUACGGCCCAGACUCCUACGGGAGGCAGCAGUGGGGAAUAUUGCACAAUGGGCGGAAGCCUGAUGCAGCAACGCCGCGUGCGGGAUGACGGCCUUCGGGUUGUAAACCGCUUUCGCCUGUGACGAAGCGUGGGUGACGGUAAUGGGUAAAGAAGCACCGGCUAACUACGUG